This 253-nucleotide ribosomal RNA is filed under the name uncultured bacterium. Its description in RNAcentral is "partial 16S ribosomal RNA". It matches the Rfam family "Bacterial small subunit ribosomal RNA", at positions 524 to 776 of the family's 1533-position model. The record is from RNAcentral.
UACGUAGGGUGCAGGCGUUAAUCGGAAUUACUGGGCGUAAAGCGUGCGCAGGCGGUUUCUUAAGUCAGAUGUGAAAGCCCCGGGCUUAACCUGGGAACUGCGUUUGAAACUGGGAGACUUGAGUGUGGCAGAGGGGGGUGGAAUUCCGCGUGUAGCAGUGAAAUGCGUAGAUAUGUGGAGGAACACCGAUGGCGAAGGCAGCCCCCUGGGUUAACACUGACGCUCAUGCACGAAAGCGUGGGGAGCAAACAGG